AUUGAACGCUGGCGGCAUGCCUUACACACGCAAGUCGAACGGCAGCAUGAUCUAGCUUGCUAGAUUGAUGGCGAGUGGCGAACGGGUGAGUAAUACAUCGGAACGUGCCCUGUAGUGGGGGAUAACUAGUCGAAAGAUUAGCUAAUACCGCAUACGACCUGAGGGUGAAAGUGGGGGACCGCAAGGCCUCAUGCUAUAGGAGCGGCCGAUGUCUGAUUAGCUAGUUGGUGGGGUAAAGGCCCACCAAGGCGACGAUCAGUAGCUGGUCUGAGAGGACGAUCAGCCACACUGGGACUGAGACACGGCCCAGACUCCUACGGGAGGCAGCAGUGGGGAAUUUUGGACAAUGGGCGAAAGCCUGAUCCAGCAAUGCCGCGUGUGUGAAGAAGGCCUUCGGGUUGUAAAGCACUUUUGUCCGGAAAGAAAUGGCUCUGGUUAAUACCUGGGGUCGAUGACGGUACCGGAAGAAUAAGGACCGGCUAACUACGUGCCAGCAGCCGCGGUAAUACGUAGGGUCCAAGCGUUAAUCGGAAUUACUGGGCGUAAAGCGUGCGCAGGCGGUUGUGCAAGACCGAUGUGAAAUCCCCGAGCUUAACUUGGGAAUUGCAUUGGUGACUGCACGGCUAGAGUGUGUCAGAGGGGGGUAGAAUUCCACGUGUAGCAGUGAAAUGCGUAGAGAUGUGGAGGAAUACCGAUGGCGAAGGCAGCCCCCUGGGAUAACACUGACGCUCAUGCACGAAAGCGUGGGGAGCAAACAGGAUUAGAUACCCUGGUAGUCCACGCCCUAAACGAUGUCAACUAGUUGUUGGGGAUUCAUUUCCUUAGUAACGUAGCUAACGCGUGAAGUUGACCGCCUGGGGAGUACGGUCGCAAGAUUAAAACUCAAAGGAAUUGACGGGGACCCGCACAAGCGGUGGAUGAUGUGGAUUAAUUCGAUGCAACGCGAAAAACCUUACCUACCCUUGACAUGCCACUAACGAAGCAGAGAUGCAUUAGGUGCUCGAAAGAGAAAGUGGACACAGGUGCUGCAUGGCUGUCGUCAGCUCGUGUUGUGAGAUGUUGGGUUAAGUCCCGCAACGAGCGCAACCCUUGUCUCUAGUUGCUACGAAAGGGCACUCUAGAGAGACUGCCGGUGACAAACCGGAGGAAGGUGGGGAUGACGUCAAGUCCUCAUGGCCCUUAUGGGUAGGGCUUCACACGUCAUACAAUGGUGCAUACAGAGGGUUGCCAAGCCGCGAGGUGGAGCUAAUCCCAGAAAAUGCAUCGUAGUCCGGAUCGUAGUCUGCAACUCGACUACGUGAAGCUGGAAUCGCUAGUAAUCGCGGAUCAGCAUGCCGCGGUGAAUACGUUCCCGGGUCU
Molecule: ribosomal RNA, 1359 nt
Filed under: uncultured bacterium
Lineage: Bacteria
Description: bacterial SSU rRNA
Rfam family: Bacterial small subunit ribosomal RNA
Source: RNAcentral